RNAcentral lists this long non-coding RNA (1104 nucleotides) under Homo sapiens (human). RNAcentral's name for it is "non-protein coding lnc-MKRN3-2:2". The record is from RNAcentral. Lineage: Eukaryota; Metazoa; Chordata; Mammalia; Primates; Hominidae.
AGACCACGCCCACCGAUGCCGGCAGCAGCUGGUGCAGCGGAGCUCAGAUCCUCUCUGUGGGGUCUGCACCGGCAAGGGCAGCUGCUCCCUGCCUUUCCUCAGGAGUCAGUGGAGCUCUGACUCUCUUCUAAUGUACUUUGCAUAUGAAGAGAAAGCUGGUUAUCCUGACUAGUAAAGAAGGGAUUAUUGAACCUGAAACUGUGAAGAGACACAAAAGCAACAAGAGGACAGAAACAAUUCAGGGCUUCAAUAAGCAGAGUACAAUCUAUUUAGUGACUGCAAUGUGGAAAUCUCUAAUGUCAGCAAGACUGUGUUGAGAGGAACACAUUUUCUUGUGAGUGAGCAUUCCUAGAGGAUGAGUAUCUUAGAGACUCAACGGCAUAUGUCUGCUAUGCAAGUAAUGAGUCCUCCAUCUAAUGGUGUACAAACUAUUCUGGAAGGAUCUGUUCAGGAUUUAUGAGGUGUUAGCAACCUACAGAGCAAGAACACUGAUACUUUUUGGUUACUCCAAAUUAUUAUUUAUAAAAUAUUAUUAUAACUUGGUGUUUGUUUUGCCAGGUAAGACUUCAGUCAGGGGCUCUGAGGUCGGUACUGUAUCCAGGGAAUUUAAAGUCCAGAUCUUAGUUUAAAAAAAAUGGCCUGUCAUCUUCACUCUAUUAUUGAAUUAGAGCCUGACAUCAUUAAUUUUAAUUUUACUGAAUAUAAAUAGCAACCCUAUAUUCUAUGCAUACUGUUUUGACUGUGGCAUUUAUUUAGAGAAGAAUGGAGACAAGAUGAUUCCAACUUAAAGGAAACUGGAAGUAUUCUGAGGAAACAAAUAGAGAAGGUAAGCCUUACUGGUUUCUCCUUUUGAUGGCAACCAUCAAAAGGAUGGUUAUAAGUCUCUUAUAAAUAGAAAGCUCUAUUUGAGUUAUUCCAUUAUGGUAAUCUUAUCAGCAAACAUAAGACAUCAUAGGAAAGGCAGGUUAGGGUCCAGGUGGGGAGGUUUUACCUGCUUAUAGGCAUCAUUUCCUUCAGCUCUGAUGGGGCAUCCCCUUCAUCGCUUGGGCUUAUUGCAAGAUGGCUGGGUCAUUUCUUUUUGAAGUUAGGAAUAAGAUGAAAGCA